This 274-nucleotide ribosomal RNA is filed under the name uncultured bacterium. RNAcentral describes it as "partial 16S ribosomal RNA". It matches the Rfam family "Bacterial small subunit ribosomal RNA", at positions 523 to 796 of the family's 1533-position model. The record is from RNAcentral.
AUACGGAGGGUGCAAGCGUUACUCGGAAUCACUGGGCGUAAAGCGCGCGCAGGCGGGCUGAUAAGUUGGAUGUGAAAGCCUACGGCUCAACCGUAGAACUGCAUCCAAAACUGUCAGUCUAGAGUCUGGGAGGGGAAGAUGGAAUUAGUUGUGUAGGGGUAAAAUCCGUAGAGAUAACUAGGAAUACCAAAAGCGAAGGCGAUCUUCUGGAACAGUACUGACGCUGAGGCGCGAAAGCGUGGGGAGCAAACAGUAUUAGAUACCCUAGUAGUCC